GAUGAAGAACGCAGCGAAAUGCGAUAAGUAGUGUGAAUUGCAGAAUUCAGUGAAUCAUCGAAUCUUUGAACGCACAUUGCGCCCCCUGGCAUUCCGGGGGGCAUGCCUGUCCGAGCGUCAUUUCUGCCCUCCAGCCCGGCUGGGUGUUGGGCGCUGUCCCCCCGGGGACACGCCCCAAAGGCAGUGGCGGCGCCGCGUCGGGUCCUCGAGCGUAUGGGGCUUUGUCACCCGCUCGGGACGGACUCGUCGGCGCUGGUCUUCCUCCAGGCGACCCUUCGGGGCUCGUCUUCCUUCGGUUGACCUCGGAUCAGGUAGGGUUACCCGCUGAACUUAAGCAUAUCAUAAGCGGAGGA
This 353-nucleotide unclassified non-coding RNA is filed under the name soil metagenome. RNAcentral's name for it is "partial contains 5.8S ribosomal RNA, internal transcribed spacer 2, and large subunit ribosomal RNA". The stretch from base 1 to 120 matches the Rfam family "5.8S ribosomal RNA", at positions 35 to 154 of the family's 154-position model. The record is from RNAcentral.